GGAUGUGAGGGUGAUCUGGCUGCGAUAUCUGUCACCCCCUUGCCAGGGUUGAUUCAGCUGAUCUGGCUGGCUAGGCAGGUGUCCCCUUCUUCCUUUACCAUUCCAUGUGAGUCCCUCCCCAAACCUGCACCUUGGUCGAAGAGGACAGCUUUCCCAGAAUAGCGACAGACGGGAAGGGUAUAGUACCUGUGCUCCCCUGCUAGAACCUCCAAACAAGCUCUCAGGGUCCAUACUUCAUCUAAAGAAGUGAGAUCAGGGGGUCAGGUGGUGGCACUC
RNAcentral lists this small nuclear RNA (276 nucleotides) under Erinaceus europaeus (western European hedgehog). RNAcentral describes it as "7SK RNA". It matches the Rfam family "7SK RNA". From Rfam's summary of the family: 7SK was discovered as an abundant small nuclear RNA in the mid-70s but a possible function has only recently been suggested. Two independent studies have found that 7SK RNA binds the CDK9/cyclin T complex (known as elongation factor P-TEFb). Lineage: Eukaryota; Metazoa; Chordata; Mammalia; Eulipotyphla; Erinaceidae. The record is from Rfam by way of RNAcentral.